GAUGAAGAACGCAGUGAAAUGCGAUAAGUAAUGUGAAUUGCAGAAUUCAGUGAAUCAUCGAAUCUUUGAACGCACAUUGCGCCCGCCAGUAUUCUGGCGGGCAUGCUUGUUCGAGCGUCAUUUCAACCAUCAAGCCCCAGGCUUGUGUUGGGGACCUGCGGCUGCCGCAGGCCCUGAAAACCAGUGGCGGGCUCGCUGUCACACCGGGCGUAGUAGAUUUUAUCUCGCUCAGGGCGUGCUGCGGGUUCCGGCCGUUAAAAAGCCUUUUUUACCCAAGGUUGACCUCGGAUCAGGUAGGAAGACCCGCUGAACUUAAGCAUAUCAAUAAGCGGAGGA
This 336-nucleotide unclassified non-coding RNA is filed under the name soil metagenome. RNAcentral's name for it is "partial contains 5.8S ribosomal RNA, internal transcribed spacer 2, and large subunit ribosomal RNA". The stretch from base 1 to 120 matches the Rfam family "5.8S ribosomal RNA", at positions 35 to 154 of the family's 154-position model. The record is from RNAcentral.